UUGGAGGGCAAGUCUGGUGCCAGCAGCCGCGGUAAUUCCAGCUCCAAUAGCGUAUAUUAAAGUUGUUGCAGUUAAAAAGCUCGUAGUUGAAUUUUAGACUUGGCCGGGCGGUCCGUCUUUGGCGAGUACUGUUCCGUUGUCGGGUCUUCCUUCUGGUGAACCAGCAUGUCCUUAAUUGGGUGUGUUGGGGAGCCAGGACCAUUACCUUGAAAAAAUUAGAGUGUUUAAAGCGGGCUAUUGCUUGAAUAGAUUAGCAUGGAAUAAUAGAAUAGGACGUUGUGGUUCUAUUUUGUUGGUUUCUAGGACCACCGUAAUGAUUAAUAGGGAUAGUUGGGGGCAUUAGUAUUCAAUUGUCAGAGGUGAAAUUCUUGGAUUUAUUGAAGACUAACUAUUGCGAAAGCAUUUGCCAAGGAUGUUUUCAUUAAUCAAGAACGAAAGUUAGGGGAUCGAAGACGAUCAGAUACCGUCGUAGUCUUAACCAUAAACUAUGCCGACUAGGAAUCGGGCGACGUUAUUUUCACGACUCGUUCGGCGCCUUACGGGAAAC
Molecule: ribosomal RNA, 547 nt
Filed under: uncultured Glomeromycotina
Lineage: Eukaryota; Fungi; Glomeromycota
Description: SSU rRNA
Rfam family: Eukaryotic small subunit ribosomal RNA
Source: RNAcentral